UAAAGAACAGUGACCAUCUGACAGGGAUAGUUCCGUUUUAUAACACUAUUCUUGUACCCCUGAGGACGUGCGCGCUUUGCGAAGAAUUGCUUAUCUUCUACUCAAGAUUUGGUCUUGUAAAGGGUUCUACUACGCGAACCGGGAAGCCACAACCGGUUAGUGAAUCUACGAAAUGCCGUGGUUCACGUCCGCCUCAGGUCUUUAAUCGUGCCGUGCUUAUUUACAUCCAAACGUAAAACGAUGAUUUUCCUUAGACGAUUCCUGUGUAGUUCGGCGACAGCAUUUCGGUCGGGAACUGUUCUUAUCUCAAAAUCAUCUUGUAUCUUUUCGAACCUUGCCUUAGAAACGUGGUUGUUCGAACGACUUAACUUUGCUGAUUCGGAACGGGGCAUUCUCCUUUUGUGGACCAAUCAACCAUGUGUCGUCAUUGGACGCCAUCAGAAUCCGUGGCUAGAGGCCAACUUGAAGAGAAUGAACGACCUCAAAAUAGAUAUGGUGCGCCGAAAUAGUGGGGGUGGGACUGUUUAUCACGACCAAGGAAAUCUCAACAUAUCGUUCAUGGGACCUAAGGCCACGUACAAUCGAAAACGGAACCUGAACUUGAUUUGCGAUGUUCUUCGGAAGAAAUAUAACAUAAACGCGGAUCCAAAUGACAGGGACGAUAUUAUUGUGGAUGGCAAGUACAAGGUCUCUGGAACAGCAUCGAAACUCGCGCACAAGAAGGCAUAUCACCAUUGCACAUUGCUAGUCAAUGUCGACAAAUCGGUUUUGAGUGAAGUUCUAAAGAACCCUUGGGAGCAUCAGCUCGAAACCAAGUCAACGAGGAGCGUGCGCGCAGAAGUUCGAAACUUAAAAGAUAUCGCGUCACAAAUCGAGCCGUUAUCCUUAGCCAAAGACCUCGGCGAGCAGUUUUGUGCCGAACUUCAAACUAGUCUCAAUUUGAAAGAGAUUGAAAUCACUGAGGAGGCGUUCCCAGGCAUCACAAAUAUUACGAAACGACUUCAGGACUGGGAAUGGACGUUCGGAUGGACACCGAGAUUUAAAAUAUCGACAGAGAAGCUCAUUGUAACAGUAUACCACGGUCGAAUCGAGAAUAUUAUCGAAAUAGGGGCCAGAUUCGAAGCCUCGUCAUUGGGUCUCGUUAACAUUGUAUUGCGAGGGAGACGAUUUACCGUCGAAGAAAUAUAUACAGUACUUAACAAGCUGGAAAGCCAACGAAGUCGUUUGAGCACGUUGCAAGAUGCUCUUAUAGAGUGUGUCAACGUCGUAUCUUAUACAUAACCAACAAAAUUAGAUUAGUACAUAUGCUUUUAGAACAUAUUAAAAUUACUAUUCAGCAUUAGAAUAACGUUUACCAUAAGCAAAAAUCCAAAUGAUCCUAGAACCGCGCUGAUGCAUAGCAGGUCUCCGUCUUUCACAAUAUUAUCAUUUUGUGCCCUUUAUUGUGUUAGAUGACCCCCGUUAUCAUUGCAGUAGUCCAUCGUUAUAUGUAUAUUGCUCACGCAGGCAAAUAAAAGUUAGGAUUUUUUUUUACAUGCGUAUAGUUUUCUGGUGUUUUCUUAUAAUUAAUUCUUGCUUGCAUUCAGCUAUAUGUAGAUGGCUUUUUAAACUAUGUGUAUAUAUAUAUAUAUAUAUAUAUAUAACGGACGCUGAAAUUUUGGCAAGCGAAGAUGAACAAACUGUUUGUCGGGAACGCGUAAAGGUUUCGUAGAUCAGCUUUUGUCUCGAAAUUCUAUUACAUUAGCGCGCAAAUACAUUCAUGUAUAAACUACAGCAGGAAAAUGUGACCGAUAGAUAUAACUAAUUGGUAACCGCAAGCCAUGAGCACGUCAAGCAGCAUUGUCGAGGCUUGUCUUAGUAGGUGAUUACGUUAGUUCGAAAAUUGCAAACAACACAAGUAGCAGCGCUCAAGCCUGGUGAGGUCCUGGAAGAUCUUCGAUUUUGUCCUGCCUAUAAAUAUGGUGCCAAGGUAAAUUAAUUAUUCCGGCAAACCAGGAGAACUUCACAGAUAUUAUCGAAGAAACGCAGAUUCUGAUCGAUGGCGGAUCUCAC
Molecule: non-coding RNA, 2052 nt
Organism: Varroa destructor (honeybee mite)
Lineage: Eukaryota; Metazoa; Arthropoda; Arachnida; Mesostigmata; Varroidae
Source: RefSeq, a predicted model, not a curated record